GUCAUUUCCGCCGAGUCCCUGACCUGCUGCUAGGAUCGCGACGGGAACUGGAGCCCGAGGUCCCCGCGCGGCCCGGGCCUGGCGCCCUGAGGGGAAGAGCGGCCCGGCCCGAGGGUGCUGGGGUGGAGAGUUUUACUCCAAUACCUUUCCUAGCCAUGACGGACGGGAUCCUAGGGAAGGCAGCCACAAUGGAGAUCCCUAUCCACGGGAACGGCGAAGCCAGGCAGCUUCCUGAAGAUGAUGGGCUGGAGCAGGUGCUUCUGUUUGAUUCUUCUAAUUGUUUCAAUUUAGGAAUCCAAUUUAUAAAUCCUAGGUUCUCACCCUCCAUUCCAGUAGCCUUCCCCUGACUUAUCUGACUCCCUUCAUUCUUUAUACUUAUCAUUUUGAUUCUGUGCAGACUUCCCUUGUGUACUAUCUUUAUGAUGCUUGAAUCCAAACUUGUUCCCACCUCCAAAAUGCUUCUGCAGCCCCUAUGUUCCUGAAGCAACCCCUCUUCUCUGGCCUAUAGGACCUCCAGCAGGUGAUGGUGUCAGGACCCAACCUCAAUGAAACCAGCAUUGUGUCUGGUGGCUAUGGGGGCUCUGGUGAUGGACUCAUCCCCACAGGUAUGAAUGUUCAGAAACAGGAAUCUUGGGUGGAGGAGGGGACAGGAAUGGUUUGGGGAAGCAUAGGAUAUCUCUAGGAAAGCUUGAAUUAUGUCUGGAGAUCUUGGGAACUUCUGCUUGUAGGAACCCCAUGGACUCUCCUCAGCCCAAAAGCAACUCCCAGCAUUGUCCAUCCAUUUCCCUUUUGCCACUUAGCCCCUGAAAUGGCUCAUUUGUCCUUUCCCUGCCACCACCUGAGUCAAGACCUACUUCACAGGAAUGCCCCCGCUCUACAGCUUGAGGCUGAGUUGGAACUUUGUGAGGCUUCUCA
RNAcentral lists this small RNA (915 nucleotides) under Pan troglodytes (chimpanzee). RNAcentral's name for it is "retained intron". The record is from RNAcentral. Lineage: Eukaryota; Metazoa; Chordata; Mammalia; Primates; Hominidae.